This 254-nucleotide ribosomal RNA is filed under the name uncultured bacterium. Its description in RNAcentral is "partial 16S ribosomal RNA". It matches the Rfam family "Bacterial small subunit ribosomal RNA", at positions 524 to 776 of the family's 1533-position model. The record is from RNAcentral.
UACGUAGGGUGCAAGCGUUGCCCGGAUUUAUUGGGCGUAAAGGGCGCGUAGGCGGCUCUGCACGUCCGUUGUGAAAUCGCCCGGCUCAACUGGGCGGGGUCAGCGGAUACGGCAGAGCUUGAGCAAGCUAGGGGGCAAUGGAAUUCCCGGUGUAGUGGUGGAAUGCGCAGAUAUCAGGAGGAACACCGAUGGCGAAGGCAGAUCUCUGGGCCGUAACUGACGCUGGAGGAGCGAAAGCAUGGGGAGCGAACAGG